RNAcentral lists this ribosomal RNA (447 nucleotides) under uncultured bacterium. RNAcentral describes it as "SSU rRNA". It matches the Rfam family "Bacterial small subunit ribosomal RNA", at positions 26 to 518 of the family's 1533-position model. The record is from RNAcentral.
AGAGCGAACGCUGGCGGCAGGCUUAACACAUGCAAGUCGAGCGGGCAUAGCAAUAUGUCAGCGGCAGACGGGUGAGUAACGCGUGGGAACGUACCUUUUGGUUCGGAACAACACAGGGAAACUUGUGCUAAUACCGAAUAAGCCCUUACGGGGAAAGAUUUAUCGCCGAAAGAUCGGCCCGCGUCUGAUUAGCUAGUUGGUGAGGUAAUGGCUCACCAAGGCGACGAUCAGUAGCUGGUCUGAGAGGAUGAUCAGCCACAUUGGGACUGAGACACGGCCCAAACUCCUACGGGAGGCAGCAGUGGGGAAUAUUGGACAAUGGGCGCAAGCCUGAUCCAGCCAUGCCGCGUGAGUGAUGAAGGCCCUAGGGUUGUAAAGCUCUUUUGUGCGGAAGAUAAUGACGGUACCGCAAGAAUAAGCCCGGCUAACUUCGCGCCAGCAGCCGAC